GAUGAAGAACGUAGUGAAAUGCGAUACUUGGUGUGAAUUGCAGAAUCCCGUGAACCAUCGAGUCUUUGAACGCAAGUUGCGCCCGAAGCCAUUAGGCCGAGGGCACGCCUGCCUGGGCGUCACACGUCGUUGCCCCCCCAUCUACUCCUUCGGGAUCGCGGGGGGCGGAUGAUGGCCUCCCGUGCGCCUCGCCGCGCGGUUGGCAUAAAUGCCAAGUCCUCGGCGACGCACGCCACGACAAUCGGUGGUUGCGAAACCUCGGUUGCCCGUCGUGUGCGGUCGUCGCGCAUCGAGGGCUCGAAAAAAUUGCCGGGUUCCGGCUCGGCUUUCAACGCGACCCCAGGUCAGGCGGGGUUACCCGCUGAAUUUAAGCAUAUCAAUAAGCGGAGGA
Molecule: unclassified non-coding RNA, 391 nt
Filed under: soil metagenome
Description: partial contains 5.8S ribosomal RNA, internal transcribed spacer 2, and large subunit ribosomal RNA
Rfam family: 5.8S ribosomal RNA (bases 1-122)
Source: RNAcentral